This is a long non-coding RNA of Nerophis ophidion (straightnose pipefish), 1414 nucleotides long. RefSeq lists it as uncharacterized. The transcript has 3 exons. The record is from RefSeq and is a predicted model, not a curated record. NCBI's taxonomy places the organism in Eukaryota, Metazoa, Chordata, Actinopteri, Syngnathiformes, Syngnathidae.
UAGUGUCCUGACACACACACACACACACACACACACACACACUACUACUACACUUUAUGAACACACAGAGCAGCUUGUCAACAACCAGUUUGUCUUCUUGACCCAUAACUGCUCCUCUCUCGGUGUCGGCCGACUUAAGAACCUCCCUUUCCAGUGAAAUGUUGACAGCCUUGGGGAAAGACGAGGAGCAGGAAGAAAGAAGACGGCCCGGCUUUUUUUCCCAGAAGUGGGGCCAAGAGGAGUGAAAAUGGGGCGUGGCUUCAGCCAAAGAGAAGUGUCAAUCACACAUGGGGUCAGUGAAGGCAUCGCCAAUGUGUGCAUGCUGUGCAGAAGUUGCACAAUCCCUGCUCUUCCAAGGGGGUUUUCUAAGAAUGUUGCUCCCACGAAGGAACCACCCACACCGUGACCUACAUAUGAGACCUUGGACGUAUGCAACACACGUGUUGUGCGGCCCCCGACAAGCUCCACUUUCAAGAUGGAGCACACAAACUAGAAGACAUGUUCUUCUCUGCAUUCAACCAAGACAACGGUGUGGAACACGCGGUGACCUCGUGCCAGGUCCCUCCGUGGUGCCGUCAAGAGGCUCGGAGUCGCCGUGAGGACAGAAGAGCUAAAUUAGGACCACGCCGUGGUUGUGAAGCUGUUCUCGGAUUUAUCACGGGCCGCAGCAGCCGGGUUGGAUUACAUCUGAAGCAUCAAAACAUGUAAGUGUGUCCUGUCACACGCUUACAUGUCAUACAUUCAACAAUGAGCGUCUCAGUAGUACUCCAUAUAUAGGAUCCUGAUUGGCUCAGUGGCGUAGUAGACCUAUGUAUUCAUUAAAACCAAGGCAGAGGUUUUAUUUAACAGUUGAACACAUUUGGCCACUCUAACAUUAUACACAGUUUGAACAGUAACACCGUGUUUGAAUAUUUAAUCAAGGGAUUCUUUGGCGUACCACUAGAUGGAGAUUGUGUACCAAUAGUUGUACACGUACCACAGUUUAAUAAUCGCUAUUUUAUGCGUCACAACAUAUCAUAGAAAUUAGAGAUGUCCGAUAUUAUCGGCCGAUAAAUGCUUUAAAAUGUAAUAUUGGAAAUAAUCGGUAUCGGUUUCAAAAAGUAAAAUGUAUGACUUUUUAAAACACCGCCUCACGGAGUGGUACACGGACGUAGGGAAGAGUACAGAGCGUCAAUGAACCUUCAAGACAUUGCCUUCGCCUGUCGUCCCAAUCAUAUAAUACCUACAGCUUUUGGUAAGUGAAAGCAAGGCCCACUUGGUCAACACCCAUACAGGUCACACUGAGGGUGGCCGUAUAAAAGACUUAACACUGUUACAAAUAUGCGCCACACAGUGAACCCACACCAAACAAGAAUGACAAACACAUUUCGGGGGAACAUCCGCACCAAAACAAAACAUAAACACAACAAAACAA